Molecule: ribosomal RNA, 506 nt
Filed under: uncultured bacterium
Lineage: Bacteria
Description: partial 16S ribosomal RNA
Rfam family: Bacterial small subunit ribosomal RNA
Source: RNAcentral
AUUGGACGCUGGCGGCAGGCUUAACACAUGCAAGUCGAGCGGUAACAGAGAGAAGCUUGCUUCUCUGCUGACGAGCGGCGGACGGGUGAGUAAUGCCUAGGAAUCUGCCUAGUAGUGGGGGAUAACUUGCCGAAAGGUAAGCUAAUACCGCAUACGUCCUACGGGAGAAAGGAGGGGACCUUCGGGCCUUUCGCUAUUAGAUGAGCCUAGGUCGGAUUAGUUAGUUGGUGAGGUAAUGACUCACCAAGACCGCGAUCCGUAACUGGUCUGAGAGGAUGAUCAGUCACACUGGAACUGAGACACGGUCCAGACUCCUACGGGAGGCAGCAGUGGGGAAUACUGGACAAUGGGGGGAACCCUGAUCCAGCCAUGCCGCGUGUGUGAAGAAGGUCUUAGGAUUGUAAAGCACUUUAAGUUGGGAGGAAGAGCAGUUAACUAAUAUUUGACUGUUUUGACGUUACCGACAGAAUAAGCACCGGCUAACUUCGUGCCAGCCGCCGCCGUAA